Long non-coding RNA from Pectinophora gossypiella (pink bollworm), 270 nucleotides. RefSeq lists it as uncharacterized. The record is from RefSeq and is a predicted model, not a curated record. Lineage: Eukaryota; Metazoa; Arthropoda; Insecta; Lepidoptera; Gelechiidae. The transcript has 4 exons.
AAAACAUUUCAUUCUUCAGAGAGAUACCAAGAAACGUAAGUUAAUUGAAUUAAAUAACUAAAUUAAAUAUUUUUGUCUUAAAUGGAGUGACGCUAAUUAUUAUGUUGUUUUUGUUACAGUCGUGAAACAAUAGCCAUGGUGGAAAGAAAUACGAAGAUUUGGACGGGGACUGAUAUCAAAGGGAUUGCAACUGAACCUAUGAGGAACGGAAGAGGAGGAGAAAAGGAAAGGGAGGUGGUGGUGUGGGAGGUGGUGGCGCCGGGACCCACC